UCGACCAAGGACAGGAGAAACAAGGGUUUACCUUUUUUCUUGCAAAACUCAUCAAUUAGCAAGAGAAUUCAAUGUUAAUUGGCUGCAUGUCUUGAAUUUUUGAUCAUCUAAGCAUACCUAGUGAAGUGGCGUGAAAGAAGAAGGUUCCAGCACUAGGAAGUCGGAAAACUCACAAGAUCGAGGUAAAUCCUCAGUUUAGGCGACUUGGCAAUUUGGAGCGAGCAUACACAUACUUUAUGACCAUCAAGCGCUUCCGCUAGUCCGUAUUAAUGUUUUGGGUUAAAUAUCUGUUUUGUACAACUUGUUAGUAGUCAUACUUUUUACACUUGAUGUCUUGGUUUUUAGUAGUAUCUUGUCGAACGGAUUGUAGAAUUGUAUUUGUUUUGAUUAUGGUUAAAACAGGGGCAUACU
Molecule: long non-coding RNA, 411 nt
Organism: Helianthus annuus (common sunflower)
Lineage: Eukaryota; Viridiplantae; Streptophyta; Magnoliopsida; Asterales; Asteraceae
Exons: 3
Source: RefSeq, a predicted model, not a curated record